GUUCACCCUCGAUCAUCUCCUUGUAAUUGUGGUGGAGGCAGGUUUAUGCUGAAGACAAUAUUUUAUAUAUAUAUAUUUUAUUUCACCUUUAUUUAGCUAGGUAGGCAAGUUGAGAGCAAGUAUUCAUUUACAAUUGCGACCUGGCCAAGAAUAAAGCAAAGCAGUUCGACACAUACAACAACACAGAGUUAGACAUGGAAUAAACAAAACAUACAGUCAAUAAUACAGUUGAAGAAAAUCUAUAUACAGUGUGUGCAAAUGAGGUAAUGCCUCCAUGGACAUUGCAGAGGAAAAAUACACAAAGGUGACUACAGUAUGCUGUUGAGCAUGUCUUGAACCACUGAGCCUCACCAGACAGAGUUAAAUCAAUCAAAAGUCCCCAUCCAUCAACUUCCUGUCCUCUUCUACCUGACUCCCAAGAUGCACUGCUUCCAUAAUCCGCGCUCAAAUGGACCACGUCCCACGCCGAUGCACCUUACCGCCUUCGGCCGCCUUCCACUCCACACUGAGCCUCGUUUGCUCGCUCACGUACUUGUGUCCCUCCGCCAUGUCCGCUGUGCAACCAACCCCAUUACUUGUCAAGAGAAUAUCUAUGUUUCCUCUCUGAUCGAUGAGCCAAUCCAUAACCAGAGAGGACGUACCAUUUACUUUUACUGCUCUCCAUUUCAUAUUUACUACUCUUUGUCAAGGGGUGUUUAUCAUUCAAGUAAUAUGGGUUAUUUGCUGGAAUAGCAUGCCAUUGCCAUUUCACAGGAGGUAACAUUUCCUUGUGUGAAUAGCAUGUUGUGAUGGUUAUAGUGUUUUACAUGAUAACGGGCUGAAUGCAUAACACAUUGGUAUACACUCCAGUGUUAAAUCAACACUGACUGUUAAAUGUAACACUGGGCCAGUGUCUAUACGGG
Molecule: long non-coding RNA, 902 nt
Filed under: Salmo salar (Atlantic salmon)
Lineage: Eukaryota; Metazoa; Chordata; Actinopteri; Salmoniformes; Salmonidae
Description: lncRNA (ENSSSAG00000089747.1, ENSSSAG00000101774.1)
Source: RNAcentral